CUUCUCCAUGCAUGUCUGUAGGGUAAAUCCAUGAAAGUCCCGAAACCCUCGUCCUAUGAAACAACUUCUAUUUCUGUCAAAGAUACUUAUCAUCUGAAUUUUGAAUUUAGCAUUUUAUAAUUGCCCAGGUCUAUGGUUUUUCAGAUUGUCCAUGUUACCCAGAUUUUAAAAAACAAUGAAUAAGUGAAAUGAACUUUUGCUUAUCUUUUGUGUUUUGUCAAUUUCUACAGGAUCAUAAGACAUUACUCUACCCCAAAGAACAGCUGUAGUCAGUUUUGGAAGACAGUGUCCUGGUGGGAGCUCAAGACAGAGCAUAUAUUCGCUUAGGAAAUGUCACUGUGACACUUCCAGAACACUGUUCAAGCCCUCUGCCAAGCUCUUGUGACGUGGAAGAGGCCUAUCGGAAAUGGUUGUGACUAUAAAGAAGCGUUAAGAGUCUACGUAGUCUACUAGACCAAGCUUUAUCCUGGUACCUAGAAAGGGACCAAACCGAAGCACCACGUCCAGGGAAAAGGAAAUGAAGAUAGACUACUAGCAAGCGUGAAACAUCCCUGGAGCAUACCUAUUUCAACAGCAACAACUUGGAGGCCAAAAAAAAGAGAUUUCCAUUCUUCACAAAACCUCAGAGUGUCAGCAUUUUCUUCUGGCUUUUCCUGGAAAACACCACUGUUUUCAGACUAGCUCUGCUGGGAUAGAAGAGUUGUACUGCUCUGGUUAGGUUACCAAGGUGAGCGGACACUUCUGCAGCACUGUCAGGCUCAUUCGGCCAGUCAUUUAGCAGAGCAAUGUUGAAAAAUAAUUGCAUAUUUAUCCUCCCCUCCCCGAGUCUUUAAAUAUGCAGGGAAAAAGUCACAGAAGAACCAAUAAUGUGACAAGAAUAAUGAGGCUGAAGAACAGUAGUACAGUGUGAACUCAUA
RNAcentral lists this long non-coding RNA (917 nucleotides) under Struthio camelus australis. RNAcentral's name for it is "lncRNA (ENSSCUG00000011667.1)". Lineage: Eukaryota; Metazoa; Chordata; Aves; Struthioniformes; Struthionidae. The record is from RNAcentral.